CCGGCUCCCAGACUAAAAGGAGCAACCAUCAGCUGAUCCCUCACAGCUGAGCUUUGGCGUCGGGGUCUUUGGUGCCGUCUCUGAUAUUAAAGUCGUGGACACCGUUGUUAAAGGUGCUGAGUCAUCUGGACAGUUAAAGCAGUCCAAGGUGUAAAGACGAAACACUGACAUGGCCCCGACACUGUAUGAUGAGAAACCAGAGCUUGGGGACUUGAUUGAGGUCCUCCGUGGCACCUAUCAGCACUGGGCUGUGUAUAUUGGC
This is a long non-coding RNA of Micropterus salmoides (largemouth bass), 262 nucleotides long. RefSeq lists it as uncharacterized. The transcript is spliced from 3 exons. The record is from RefSeq and is a predicted model, not a curated record. NCBI's taxonomy places the organism in Eukaryota, Metazoa, Chordata, Actinopteri, Centrarchiformes, Centrarchidae.